This 342-nucleotide ribosomal RNA is filed under the name Triticum aestivum (bread wheat). RNAcentral's name for it is "partial small subunit ribosomal RNA". Lineage: Eukaryota; Viridiplantae; Streptophyta; Magnoliopsida; Poales; Poaceae. The record is from RNAcentral.
AUGCGGACAUAUUCGUCGAUGGCAUCGGCUGAACACCCAUAUGCCAGGACUCAAACAACCGCAAUGCACUUCAUCAGAGGGCUUGCACUUAAUCUCUCCACUUGCAUUUCUCCGGAUCUUGAACAAGCCAUCAUACUUCUCAAUGGCUUUUGCAAUGGUCAGAAAAAUACUUGUGUGCAUCCGAAAGCGCUAGCGAAAGUACUCCGGAUAAGUUGGCUUCAGAGCAAAGUAGUUUGUCAUGAUCUUGGCAUGGCCCUCCGCUCUAUCACGGUUGAUGGGUAUGCGUCCAAACCGUGGUCCUCUCCUAGGGCACCAAAUAUCAUCAAUGAAAAUCAUGCCUAA